RNAcentral lists this ribosomal RNA (497 nucleotides) under uncultured bacterium. RNAcentral describes it as "partial 16S ribosomal RNA". It matches the Rfam family "Bacterial small subunit ribosomal RNA", at positions 28 to 507 of the family's 1533-position model. The record is from RNAcentral.
GAUGAACGCUGGCGGCGUGCCUAAUACAUGCAAGUCGAGCGAACAGACGAGGAGCUUGCUCCUCUGACGUUAGCGGCGGACGGGUGAGUAACACGUGGAUAACCUACCUAUAAGACUGGGAUAACUUCGGGAAACCGGAGCUAAUACCGGAUAAUAUAUUGAACCGCAUGGUUCAAUAGUGAAAGACGGUUUUGCUGUCACUUAUAGCUGGAUCCGCGCCGCAUUAGCUAGUUGGUAAGGUAACGGCUUACCAAGGCAACGAUGCGUAGCCGACCUGAGAGGGGGAGCGGACACAAUGGAACAGAGACACGGUCCAGACUCCUACGGGAGGCAGCAGUAGGGAAUCUUCCGCAAUGGGCGAAAGCCGGACGGAGCAACGCCGCGUGAGUGAUGAAGGUCUUCGGAUCGUAAAACUCUGUUAUUAGGGAAGAACAAAUGUGUAAGUAACUAUGCACGUCUUGACGGUACCUAAUCAGAAAGCCACGGCUAACUACGUG